This 24-nucleotide non-coding RNA is filed under the name Arabidopsis thaliana (thale cress). Lineage: Eukaryota; Viridiplantae; Streptophyta; Magnoliopsida; Brassicales; Brassicaceae. The record is from RNAcentral.
AUUAGGGUUCACGGGUUGAGUUGA